GACGAACGCUGGCGGCGUGCUUAACACAUGCAAGUCGAACGGAAAGGUCCUGCUUUUGUGCGGUGCUCGAGUGGCGAACUGGUGAGUAACACGUGAGUAACCUGCCCUUGACUUUGGUAUAACUUCAGGAAACUGGGGCUCUUACCGCAUAGGAUCUCUUGCUGCAUGGUGGGGGUUGGAUAGAUUCGGCGGUUGGGGAUGGACUCGCGUCUUAUCCGCUUGUUGGUGGGGUAGUGGCUUACCAAGGCUAUGACGGGUAGCCGACCUGGGAGGGGUACCGGAGACACUACGAUGGAGAUACGACCCAGACUAGAAUCGGAGGCAAGGGAGGAGAGGAUGACAGAGUAGGAGGGAGGAAGGUAUGACCACGCAGCGUGCGGGAAGAGAGGCUUGGGGUUGUGAACAAAUGUCGCCUGAGACGAGGAGUGAGUGACGGUAAUGGGUAAAGAAGCACCGGCUAACUACGUG
RNAcentral lists this ribosomal RNA (468 nucleotides) under uncultured bacterium. RNAcentral's name for it is "partial 16S ribosomal RNA". It matches the Rfam family "Bacterial small subunit ribosomal RNA", at positions 28 to 507 of the family's 1533-position model. The record is from RNAcentral.